Molecule: ribosomal RNA, 184 nt
Filed under: uncultured bacterium
Lineage: Bacteria
Description: partial 16S ribosomal RNA
Rfam family: Bacterial small subunit ribosomal RNA
Source: RNAcentral
CAUGAAGCUGGAAUUGCUAGUAAUCGCGGAUCAGCAAGCCGCGGUGAAUACGUUCCCGGGCCUUGUACACACCGCCCGUCACACCAUGGGAGUCGGAAAUGCCCGAAGUCGGUGACCCAACCGUUUACGGAGGGAGCUGCCGAAGGCAGGUCUGGUGACUGGGGUGAAGUCGUAACAAGGUAUC